This 490-nucleotide long non-coding RNA is filed under the name Homo sapiens (human). RNAcentral describes it as "HSALNT0371012". Lineage: Eukaryota; Metazoa; Chordata; Mammalia; Primates; Hominidae. The record is from RNAcentral.
UGAGGACGAAAGGCUCCUUCAAAAGGCGGGCGAGGGGCCGGGGGCGGUGGCUCACACCUGUCAUCCCAGCACUUGCGGAGGCCGAGGUGACUGGAACUGAUUUGACAUAACCAUCGUAUGCAUGGAGAAGCUGAGAACAGUAAUCUGCAGAAGCAAAAGUAUGAAACAGCCGGGCAAAGAUGCACAGAGGCUUUACCUUCCUCUGAUAAUUGGCAAAAGGUUCUGAAGCUCCCAGGCCAUCUGGAGUCCUUGUAAACUAGCAUACCUACAGCUGUACAAGCCAUAUUUUGAUAGCCCCCUGUAGCUAAUGGCUACCAUAUUGAACAGCAAAGAUAUACGGUACUUACCCAGCAGUAUAGAAAGCUCAACCGGACAGUGCUACAACAGUUGCAGGUAAGCAAGCAAGGUAAGGAUAGUCCCAAUCAGAUAGAUGGCAUCUAUUUUGUGUGAAGCCUUGUGAGGUGGCUCACACCUGUAGUCCCAGCUACUU